Small nuclear RNA from Ictidomys tridecemlineatus (thirteen-lined ground squirrel), 99 nucleotides. The record is from Ensembl. NCBI's taxonomy places the organism in Eukaryota, Metazoa, Chordata, Mammalia, Rodentia, Sciuridae.
AUGCUUGCUUUGGCAGCACAUAUGGGAACAAUUUAAAGAAGAUUAGCAUGGCCCCUGCACAAGGAUGGCAUGCAAAUUCAUGAAGCAUUCCAUAUUUUU